RNAcentral lists this ribosomal RNA (252 nucleotides) under uncultured bacterium. RNAcentral describes it as "partial 16S ribosomal RNA". It matches the Rfam family "Bacterial small subunit ribosomal RNA", at positions 524 to 776 of the family's 1533-position model. The record is from RNAcentral.
UACGAAGGGGGCUAGCGUUGUUCGGAAUUACUGGGCGUAAAGCGAACGUAGGCGGUGUUCCAUGUCAGAGGUGAAGCCUGGGGCUCAACUCCAGAAUUGCCUUUGAAACGGGGACGCUUGAGUCCGAGAGAGGAUGGCGGAAUUCCUAGUGUAGAGGUGAAAUUCGUAGAUAUUAGGAAGAACACCGGUGGCGAAGGCGGCCAUCUGGCUCGGUACUGACGCUCAGGUUCGAAAGCGUGGGGAGCAAACAGG